This 301-nucleotide ribosomal RNA is filed under the name uncultured bacterium. RNAcentral's name for it is "partial 16S ribosomal RNA". It matches the Rfam family "Bacterial small subunit ribosomal RNA", at positions 509 to 807 of the family's 1533-position model. The record is from RNAcentral.
CAGCAGCCGCGGUAAUACAGAGGGUGCAAGCGUUAAUCGGAAUUACUGGGCGUAAAGCGCGCGUAGGUGGUUUGUUAAGUUGGAUGUGAAAUCCCCGGGCUCAACCUGGGAACUGCAUCCAAAACUGGCAAGCUAGAGUAUGGUAGAGGGUGGUGGAAUUUCCUGUGUAGCGGUGAAAUGCGUAGAUAUAGGAAGGAACACCAGUGGCGAAGGCGACCACCUGGACUGAUACUGACACUGAGGUGCGAAAGCGUGGGGAGCAAACAGGAUUAGAUACCCCGGUAGUCCCUGUCUCUUAUAC